GAUGAACGCUGGCGGCGUGCCUAAUACAUGCAAGUCGAGCGAACGGACGAGAAGCUUGCUUCUCUGAUGUUAGCGGCGGACGGGUGAGUAACACGUGGAUAACCUACCUAUAAGACUGGGAUAACUUCGGGAAACCGGAGCUAAUACCGGAUAAUAUUUUGAACCGCAUGGUUCAAAAGUAAAAGACGGUCUUGCUGUCACUUAUAGAUGGAUCCGCGCUGCAUUAGCUAGUUGGUAAGGUAACGGCUUACCAAGGCAACGAUGCAUAGCCGACCUGAGAGGGUGAGCUGCCACACUGGAACUGAGACACGGUCCAGACUCCUACGGGAGGCAGCAGUAGGGAAUCUUCCGCAAUGGGCGAAAGCCUGACGGAGCAACGCCGCGUGAGUGAUGAAGGUCUUCGGAUCGUAAAACUCUGUUAUUAGGGAAGAACAUAUGUGUAAGUAACUGUGCACAUCUUGACGGUACCUAAUCAGAAAGCCACGGCUAACUACGUG
Molecule: ribosomal RNA, 497 nt
Filed under: uncultured bacterium
Lineage: Bacteria
Description: partial 16S ribosomal RNA
Rfam family: Bacterial small subunit ribosomal RNA
Source: RNAcentral